AAAGUAGCGGAAGGCAGGGUAACGUGGAGCAGCCGGUGUCUGGGGGUCACAGGCGAGGUGGGAGGAGAGAAAACAGAAUAAAAGUAGCGGAAGGCAGGGUAACGUGGAGCAGCCGGUGUCUGGGAGUCACGGGUGAGGUGGGAGGAGAGAAAACAGAAUAAAAGGAGCGGAAGGCAGGGUAACAUGGAGCAGCCGGUGUCUGGGAGUCACGGGUGAGGUGGGAGGAGAGAAAACAGAAUAAAAGUAGCGGAAGGCAGGGUAACGUGGAGCAGCCGGUGUCUGGGAGUCACGGGUGAGGUGGGAGGAGAGAAAACAGAAUAAAAGGAGCGGAAGGCAGGGUAACAUGGAGCAGCCGGUGUCU
This is a long non-coding RNA of Brienomyrus brachyistius, 361 nucleotides long. RefSeq lists it as uncharacterized. The record is from RefSeq and is a predicted model, not a curated record. NCBI's taxonomy places the organism in Eukaryota, Metazoa, Chordata, Actinopteri, Osteoglossiformes, Mormyridae. The transcript is spliced from 4 exons.